Molecule: long non-coding RNA, 334 nt
Filed under: Nicotiana benthamiana
Lineage: Eukaryota; Viridiplantae; Streptophyta; Magnoliopsida; Solanales; Solanaceae
Description: long non-coding RNA (NBEN_LNC027889)
Source: RNAcentral
CCGAAAGCUAAGUUCGAAUUUAUUCGAAACAAGCUUGGAGUACAUGGAAAAUUUAUUAAUUAGCAUUGAGGAGGAGUGUUAAAAGCAAUGCUAAUUAAAAUAAAAUAUACAAAAUAAAAAUAAAACAUGUGUUUAAUGUUGGACGUUAGUGUGAAAAUUAAAUUUAAGAAAUUAAACAUGUGAGUCAAAAAAAUUGUAGACAAAAAUGGUGGGUUGAAUUUUUUGUAUUGUUCACAUUGUAUUGUUAGGUGUGUUCAUAUUGUAUGUUCACAUGUAAUGUUAAGCCUAUAUAAGGGUUGUGUACUCCAUUUGCAAGAUAUAAAAAAAACAUACA